UACAGAGGGCCCGAGCGUUGUUCGGAUUCACUGGGCGUAAAGGGUGCGUAGGUGGUGAGGUAAGUCGGAUGUGAAAUCUCCGGGCUCAACCCGGAAAUGGCAUUGGAAACUACCUUGCUGGAGGAUUUGAGGGGGGAUUGGAAUACUUGGUGUAGCAGUGAAAUGCGUAGAUAUCAAGUGGAACACCAGUGGCGAAGGCGAAUCCCUGGAAAAUACCUGACACUGAGGCACGAAAGCUAGGGGAGCAAACAGG
This 253-nucleotide ribosomal RNA is filed under the name uncultured bacterium. RNAcentral describes it as "partial 16S ribosomal RNA". It matches the Rfam family "Bacterial small subunit ribosomal RNA", at positions 524 to 776 of the family's 1533-position model. The record is from RNAcentral.